This 425-nucleotide ribosomal RNA is filed under the name uncultured bacterium. RNAcentral describes it as "partial 16S ribosomal RNA". It matches the Rfam family "Bacterial small subunit ribosomal RNA", at positions 354 to 796 of the family's 1533-position model. The record is from RNAcentral.
GUGGGGAAUCUUGCGCAAUGGGCGAAAGCCUGACGCAGCCAUGCCGCGUGAAUGAUGAAGGUCUUAGGAUUGUAAAAUUCUUUCACCGGGGACGAUAAUGACGGUACCCGGAGAAGAAGCCCCGGCUAACUUCGUGCCAGCAGCCGCGGUAAUACGAAGGGGGCUAGCGUUGCUCGGAAUUACUGGGCGUAAAGGGCGCGUAGGCGGACAGUUUAGUCAGAGGUGAAAGCCCAGGGCUCAACCUUGGAAUUGCCUUUGAUACUGGCUGUCUUGAGUACGGGAGAGGUGAGUGGAACUCCGAGUGUAGAGGUGAAAUUCGUAGAUAUUCGGGAGAACACCAGUGGCGAAGGCGACUCACUGGCCCGUUACUGACGCUGAGGCGCGAAAGCGUGGGGAGCAAACAGGAUUAGAUACCCGGGUAGUCC